GAACUAUAGAGUUUGAUCCUGGCUCAGAUUGAACGCUGGCGGCAUGCCUUACACAUGCAAGUCGAACGGCAGCACGGGAGCAAUCCUGGUGGCGAGUGGCGAACGGGUGAGUAAUAUAUCGGAACGUAUCCAAUAAUGGGGGAUAACUAAUCGAAAGGUUGGCUAAUACCGCAUACGCCCUACGGGGGAAAGCUAGGGACCUUCGGGCCUGGCGUUAAUGGAGCGGCCGAUAUCUGAUUAGCUAGUUGGUGGGGUAAAGGCCCACCAAGGCGACGAUCAGUAGCUGGUCUGAGAGGACGACCAGCCACACUGGAACUGAGACACGGUCCAGACUCCUACGGGAGGCAG
Molecule: ribosomal RNA, 348 nt
Filed under: Rhodoferax sp.
Lineage: Bacteria; Pseudomonadati; Pseudomonadota; Betaproteobacteria; Burkholderiales; Comamonadaceae
Description: bacterial SSU rRNA
Rfam family: Bacterial small subunit ribosomal RNA
Source: RNAcentral